Molecule: ribosomal RNA, 497 nt
Filed under: uncultured bacterium
Lineage: Bacteria
Description: partial 16S ribosomal RNA
Rfam family: Bacterial small subunit ribosomal RNA
Source: RNAcentral
GAUGAACGCUGGCGGCGUGCCUAAUACAUGCAAGUCGAGCGAACAGACGAGGAGCUUGCUCCUCUGACGUUAGCGGCGGACGGGUGAGUAACACGUGGAUAACCUACCUAUAAGACUGGGAUAACUUCGGGAAACCGGAUCUAAUACCGGAUAAUAUAUUGAACCGCAUGGUUCAAUAGUGAAAGACGGUUUUGCUGUCACUUAUAGAUGGAUCCGCGCCGCAUUAGCUAGUUGGUAAGGUAACGGCUUACCAAGGCGACGAUGCGUAGCCGACCGGAGAGGGUGAUCGGCCACACUGGAACUGAGACACGGUCCAGACUCCUACGGGGGGCAGCAGUAGGGAAUCUUCCGCAAUGGGCGAAAGCCUGACGGAGCAACGCCGCGUGAGUGAUGAAGGUCUUCGGAUCGUAAAACUCUUUUAUUAGGGAAGAACAAUUGUGUAAUUAACUAUGCACGUCUUGACGGUACCUAAUCAGAAAGCCACGGCUAACUACGUG